AACUGAACUGCAUGAGAGGGAGACAGAGAAAUGUUGCACAGCAGGCAAGAAACAUGACUUCCAGUUUCAUUUAAAGCACUUUUCUUCUCUUUUUUUUCUUUUUUCUUGACAGAAAAAUAAAUAAAAAGACAAGUGUGGUCUACAGUUCACAAAAAAAAGAAGUAGUUUUGCAAAUGGAGAUGCUGAAUCCAUAUUGUUUUAAUGAAUUGACAUUUCUGUGUUAGAAAACAACAUUUCACACUAUGCAAAAUAAAGCAGGAAACUUUCUGAGAGUGUCAGAUACUUGCUUAGUAUUAAAUGACACUGGAAAGAUGCUACUUAACAGAGGGGAGAGGAAGACUGAGAUUUACAUAGAUGAAGAUAGCUAAAUUUUGGUGUCCACCCAUAAGCCAAAUAGCCAUAGUCUUGUUCUAACCUGUACAGUAACAUAGUAAGGAUGGGAUUCAGCUGCCUAAACACAACUGGUAUGGCCUGCAGUCACUGCACUCAGAGGGCACAGGAGUCCUGAAGGGGCCUUAGGCUUUCCAAUAUCAUAGGGAUAUCUCAGAUAUUCUGUCUCUGAAGUGUGCUGAAAGUACAAAUUCUGGCAUCACCUACAACACUCAAGUGUAGGUGUUUAAAUAGAGAUCUCAGUCCAGCUCUUUCAUUGCUACCUGCCUUUCCAUGUAUUACAGUAAUUAUAAUGACAACCUGAUACUAGUAAUAAGCUGUACAGCUCUUACUAUCAAUCACAGGAAACAUUCUGUUAUCUGAUAAUUCAUCUUAAAAGAUACUGCCUGUCUCAGGGUUCAGAGCUCUGUUCUACACUAAUCAGAUAGAAUCCUUGUGUAGUAGAAGAAAUAAAGAACUGCCACUCUGGGUACCUAAGGCAAACCAGGACAUAAAUACAUACAUAUACAUAUGUAUAAAACUAUUUUGUUCCUGACUUACUCUUUUUUGUCAACUUGUUCGAGUCUCCUGUGAAAUUCAGCAGCAGCCUUUGUAAAGUUCACCACAGCAGAAAAAAGAGGAUCUAGGAAUGGAAGGAUUACAUGAACAACUUCAUGGUAUUUACUAAGCCAAAUAUACCUUUCAGUUGCCCAAUGGGAGAAGUACUACAUUUGUUUUACUGAUAUAAUAGCAUUAAUUUUGUUCUCUUUACAUAAUUGAUUGGUUUACCUAGUGCAGACUUUAAAGAACUGCACUACUAGCAAAUACCUUUUGCAAUGAGACCAAGAGUAAAGCAGAGUGCUUGGUAAAGCUUUCAUAGCCAUCCAUCUUCCCUCUGCUUUGCAAGCAAAAAAUUGGUUGUCGUUGCAAACUGAGAGCUCUGCUGUUUCCUGUUUAACAAAUGCACCGCAGUGCUCAGGUAUAAAAGGCCUGGCUUCCAUCAGAAAUACCAGCUGUUCCAGAAGGCUGUGGAAGAACAGCGGGAUUUCGCUCUAGGAGAAAGAUGUCCCAUUGACAGCACAACAGGAGAGUGUGAUACAUGCAUUGAACAGUGCUAGGUGAGGCACAAAAGGCACAGCUGUCAUGGCACACAGGGGCAGACACAGCAGAUGAAAGCAGCCAAGUGCUGUGCUUGCUGCACGCUGGAAUUGUGGCACGGGAGGUGUCUCUGUCACGUCCCUCCGUGCUGUCCUGCAGCACUGCCACUCAGAUCCCAGGGGUUUGCCUGACUGUGUGCAGGCAGGCUAGCAGGAAUGGCUGCUGCUUUUUCCUGCCCUGCCCCAUCCCAGUACGUCUGACACAUGUGGAAUAACUUAGUUAGAGAAGCAGCAGGACUCCUUUUAAUGGCAGUAGCAGCUGUGAUUAUUUUUUUGCAGAAGGCUCUAUUUAAUACAGACCUGGGAAAAGUAUCAAUUUAUGCAAGUAAUUUUUGUAGAAUAAAUCACAGGUGGAUGUUCCGAGGUUAACUUCUGGCCCCACCAAAACUCACCUCAAUUAGAAAGAAGGAAAGUUUAAAACUUGUACAUUUUGCCCACAAGUCUCAGAAAACUUUGGCUAAACCAGAGUAUCUUCUCUUCGAUUGCGCAGGAAGAUUGGACAUAUGAUUAGAUCAUCUCCUAAAUGCAGUCUUCUGUUGGCAACUAUUAUCCCUUCACUGUUUAUAGAUUUAUCACCCAAUUUCACGUGACAGGCUUUCUGUUCCCAGCCAAUUGAAAGCUGUUCCUCAGUCUCAUUUGCUCUUCUAUUUCUAGCAAAUUUAUUUAUUCAUCAUGAGCCUGCACUUGCUUCUUCUUGUCUUAGUACUGUUGUUUAGUUGAUGCAGUUGGAUGCACAGAUUUUAUGUAUGCAAGCUGUUUACAGACUGCAGCUCAGAGGGACACAUCGCCUUCUGAGGGUGAGAAUUCACACUUGUACAUAACCCUGUGGCAAGAGCUCUAAGUUUGCCAGGGGGCAUAGUUCUGCCCUGCUGACAUCAUGGCCAUACUGCAGCUGCAGAUUAUAUUUCAGAAGCAGUAGGAGGGGAUUUAAGAGAGGGAAAAAAAAAAAAAAUCAUCAUCUGAAAAAUAUGUACCAACUUCAUGUUCACUAGCUAUUCAGUGCUGUCAAUAUUGGUUAUUUUAGAAAACAUUACAGUUCUUUUUUCCCGCACUUGAAAACAUUAUUUCCUGAUAGCAUAUGACUGCAAGCACAUAUUUUAGGAAAAAAAAAAAAAAAAGGUUCCAGCCUUCAUUGUUGUAGAUGAACAGCUAAAAUGUGAAUCCAAAUGCAAAUAAAAACCUUAACCUAUUAUUUUAAAGGACAAUUAUAAGAUUUAGACUUAAAAUUUUUCUGACAUUCAGUGUUGUCAAGAAGCAAUUCUAUGAAAGGUGGAAUAAACUUUAAUUUUCACAGUAUUGUAAAACCUCCCUAUAUUAUUUAAUGUACUCUGGUGUAGUAGAAUAAAUAAAAAAUUAAAAAUUA
This is a long non-coding RNA of Parus major (Great Tit), 2889 nucleotides long. RefSeq lists it as uncharacterized. Lineage: Eukaryota; Metazoa; Chordata; Aves; Passeriformes; Paridae. The transcript has 2 exons. The record is from RefSeq and is a predicted model, not a curated record.